AGGGUAAUAGCUCAGUGGUAGAGCACAUGCUGAGUGUGCACGAGGUCCUGGGUUCAAUCCCCAGUACCUCCA
Molecule: transfer RNA, 72 nt
Filed under: Camelus ferus (Wild Bactrian camel)
Lineage: Eukaryota; Metazoa; Chordata; Mammalia; Artiodactyla; Camelidae
Rfam family: tRNA
About the family: Transfer RNA (tRNA) molecules are approximately 80 nucleotides in length. Their secondary structure includes four short double-helical elements and three loops (D, anti-codon, and T loops). Further hydrogen bonds mediate the characteristic L-shaped molecular structure. tRNAs have two regions of fundamental functional importance: the anti-codon, which is responsible for specific mRNA codon recognition, and the 3' end, to which the tRNAs corresponding amino acid is attached (by aminoacyl-tRNA synthetases). tRNAs cope with the degeneracy of the genetic code in two manners: having more than one tRNA (with a specific anti-codon) for a particular amino acid; and 'wobble' base-pairing, i.e. permitting non-standard base-pairing at the 3rd anti-codon position.
Source: Rfam by way of RNAcentral